UAUAUUACAAUAAUGUGAAAUCACCAUCCUCACAUAAACUUUUACAGUUUACAGAGGAUGGCCAUCUGUGUUUAU
Molecule: long non-coding RNA, 75 nt
Organism: Maniola jurtina (meadow brown)
Lineage: Eukaryota; Metazoa; Arthropoda; Insecta; Lepidoptera; Nymphalidae
Exons: 3
Source: RefSeq, a predicted model, not a curated record